Molecule: ribosomal RNA, 253 nt
Filed under: uncultured bacterium
Lineage: Bacteria
Description: partial 16S ribosomal RNA
Rfam family: Bacterial small subunit ribosomal RNA
Source: RNAcentral
UACGGAGGGAGCUAGCGUUGUUCGGAAUUAUUGGGCGUAAAGAGCUCGUAGGCGGUCUGUCGCGUCGGCUGUGAAAACUCGGGGCUCAACCCCGAGCCUGCAGUCGAUACGGGCAGACUAGAGUGCUGUAGGGGAGACUGGAAUUCCUGGUGUAGCGGUGAAAUGCGCAGAUAUCAGGAGGAACACCGGUGGCGAAGGCGGGUCUCUGGGCAGUAACUGACGCUGAGGAGCGAAAGAGUGGGGAGCGAACAGG